GAAAUGCGAUAAGUAAUGUGAAUUGCAGAAUUCAGUGAAUCAUCGAAUCUUUGAACGCACAUUGCGCCCUCUGGUAUUCCGGGGGGCAUGCCUGUUCGAGCGUCAUUACAACCCUCAAGCUUUGCUUGGUAUUGGACAUUGCCAGUUUCUGGCAGGUCUUAAAAUCAGUGGCAGCACCGAGUUUUGGUGUCUGAG
RNAcentral lists this unclassified non-coding RNA (195 nucleotides) under uncultured fungus. RNAcentral's name for it is "sequence contains ITS1". The stretch from base 1 to 105 matches the Rfam family "5.8S ribosomal RNA", at positions 50 to 154 of the family's 154-position model. From Rfam's summary of the family: 5.8S ribosomal RNA (5.8S rRNA) is a component of the large subunit of the eukaryotic ribosome. It is transcribed by RNA polymerase I as part of the 45S precursor that also contains 18S and 28S rRNA. Lineage: Eukaryota; Fungi. The record is from RNAcentral.